UUAAUAUUCUUCAUCUGAUCAUUUCAGAUGGUCCAUGCUGACUGUCUCAUCAGUGUUGUGUCUCAGUGGUCUGGUUCUGGUUCUGGCUCGGUCCAUGACUCCUGAGUCUAUCGGACCUCUGGAAUCUGUCAGCGUGGAUCACAAGGUGAAUUGUCUGGUGUGUUUGUGGGGGACAGGGGGUCUACCUACCAGCCUUUUCUCCUGACACCAUACACAGACCCCCAGGAACCACAGCAGACCUACAGUCAUGCCCAUGCCAGGACAAGGAGCAGGAUCCAAACGACCUUUGACCUCCUGAAGGAACGCUUUCACUGUCUGCACCACUUAAGGGUCAGCCCUUUGAGGUCAUGUGACAUCACUGUGGCCUGUACUGUCCUCCACAAAGUGGCCUGAGGAAGGAGAGUUAGAGAGCCAACCCCCCUCCAAAAAAAAAGUGCAUCACACAUGGACUGGGACAAUCCUGCCGUCUUCCCUGAUGACCGCAGUGGUCAGCUGGUCAGGGACCAAUAUGUGUUCAAUUAUUUGAGUUCACAUGCAUGAUUUCAGUUAAAUAUGUCCUGCAGGGGCAGAGGAAUUUGUGGGUUUUUUUGUUAUUCAGUUUAAAUUGAUUUGGUUGGUUUUGAUGUUUGUUAUUUACUGUAUGUAUGUUUUUUGUUGUUUCUAUUGUUACUAAACUAAAGGCAUUGGUAUUUAUUUUAUUUCAUUUUGUUUUUUGUUUGGUGAUAUGAAUGGGGGGGGUCGGCAGAAUAAACUUAGGCUUCAACCUAUUCCUUUACAGACUCUUCAGUUUGUAAACAUUGUAUCUGCAUAAAUGUAUGAUGUUUGAAAUGUCUGAAUGAACACAAUUGAACUGAACUGAUGUAAUGAUUGCAAAAUCAUCUAAAAUCAUUUAUGUCAAAUUAUUGAAAUGAAUAAUCCCAAAUGUUUGUAUACUGACAGUGGGUCUAGUUCCUGUGAUUCCAUUGUGUAAUGGGCAGUGAAAUAACUAUUGGUUUCCAUUUGUGGUGACUGUUGACUGAGAUGAGGGAUGAGAUGAAAUAAAUCCUGGAGUUUAGCCUGGUCUGGAGCAGACUAGCUCCACAGAAUAAA
Sphaeramia orbicularis (orbiculate cardinalfish) is the source of this 1089-nucleotide long non-coding RNA. RefSeq lists it as uncharacterized. The transcript is spliced from 2 exons. Lineage: Eukaryota; Metazoa; Chordata; Actinopteri; Kurtiformes; Apogonidae. The record is from RefSeq and is a predicted model, not a curated record.